UGCAGAUCCCUCUCGUCCCCCUCGUUGCCGCCACCCACCCCUCAGAACCUCGCCGUCACCCACCUCCGCAGCCGCGCUCACUCUCCCCUCGUCUCCCUCGUCCUCGACCAACCUCGCCGCCCGCGGGGCGCUCUCACAUCGCCGCCACUCCACGCCCGUGCACGACAGAAGAGAAGCCCGAGGUCCUCCUCUGAUGCUCCUCUGCCUCCCUCGCCCGCGGGGCUCUCUGCUCCACUUCGACUGGCCGACGCAGACAGGAGAGAAGCCCUCGUCAGUCGCAGGUCCUCGACUCCGCCGUCGCAGCACCGAACCCUCGUCGUUCGGAUCCAGCCACCGUCGCAGCCAUGCCGUUCACCCCGCGACCCUACUCCGGGAAGAACACCCUCGCCCUCGUGGCCACGGUCUCCGCCGUCAGCGUCGGCGUCGUCUAGGGCUCUGUCAAGCUCGGGCAGAUGAGGCGCCGCAGAGGAUUCGCAGCCGUACCCAUGACCUCAGUCUGGUGGACACGACCUCUCUCCCCUCGCUGGACCAGACCCGCAGGGUCCUAGGGCGCGAUUCUCGCGACCAACAGCCGGUCGGUGCUCCCGUCGGCGUCAUCUUCUCUUCUCCGGCGUGGUCACCUCAGUGCCUGGCGUUGGCUCCUCCGACGUGAUGAAGAGAGAUGGAUCGUCGGAGUCAGUAGGGCCACCAACAGCCGUGAUUUGGGCCCUCUCGCACUUGCAGAUGGUCUCGACAACAAGGUCUUCAUCGACUACAUCCAAUUCCAUCAACCCUGGUACAACAUCAAGUGCAAGGCUAUUUGAAGUUCGGGAUUAACACAGAAAAUGACGCAACUGUGUACCAGGAAUGGGCCCCUUGCUUAUUUUUUUCUUCGGUUUGGACGCAACAGGUGCCGUCCCUCCAUGGACGAGGAGGACAUCGAUCUGGAACUCGAUGACGACGUCAUCCACCCCGCACAAGGUAUAUGCGAGUCGACCGUGCGGUGGCAGUCCCUGUGGAACGAGCACUGGACUACUCCCUUGGCCAGGCGUACCUGUGUCAUGCGGGUUCUGAUCAUGUACAUCAGCACACUUUCCAGCGUCGACCUGAGCAAACGAUGAUGGAAGGCUGCUCCUCCUCCUACUGCAUGUCUUCAUCGACUUGAUUCUUCGACAUGGAGAUAUUUAAAGCCUUCACUUGUUCAUUGUGUCAUCUGCUGAUUACUUCUAUUUUUUUGCAAAACACGUAAUGGUUUUGAGUAGUUGAUCAUGGCCUGAUGGAACAUUCAUGUUGUUAGCAUGUAUAUAUACACUAUUACAACAGCCAUAUGCAAUCCAUUUUAUUAAAUGCAUUCUGGUUAGGAUUUGGUCAUGGCAUGACUUUGUUGUUCCGUUUUCUAUGAAUCUAGUCGCUACUUCUGGAAUUCAUUGUAGGACUUCAUCAUGUGAUUAUUAGUUAUUUUUGACCAAUGAUAGUCCUAGCAUGUGUAGUCUUUGCGGUGAUGUUCUUUAGAUUGUAGCAAGCAAGAACAGGAUUAGAACACAUUAGUAUGACACUUGAUCUUAGCUUAUUGAUCCUAGCUAUAAAUCCAUAUAUUUUGCAAUAAUAUUUUGGUUUGCUUUGCUCAUAUUAUUUGCAAUCUACAGUAGUAGUGGUACUUUGAUUUCACUGCAAUCUACAGUAGUAGUUUUUUUUGGUUCAUUAGGAUGUGAACAAUCUACUACAUGCUCACAAAGUUAUUGACUUAAAAUAUGAAUAUGUGCUAUUUGCUGGCAGUCCUUCUCUUUCCAAGAGACAUCAAAGUUCAGAGACUAUCAAUCCGAAAAUAUGAAUAUGUAAAUUUUGUUCUCAUUUCUCAGUUUUGGCGCCUCUUGUUGAUGCAGGUGCACAUGACUGUUGUUGAGGACAUGGUGUUCUUUUUGGCGCGCCCAAGUAUUGGGUGAUGCUUUCCUGCAUGGUUACUGCAGCUCCAGUUCAGGUGGGCGCUCUAGCUCCUCCUCACGCCCUACAUGCAGGUACACCCUUCCAGCGGUACCUACUUGGACACACAAACUGUGAGUAGAUUCAAUUGACUUCUACUUAUAUUAUGUUGCCAGCUUCAUCUGUUUUGAUCAUUAGAAUAUUGCCUUCAUACUAUCUAAUUUCUGCAGUUAAGAUGCUCUCGACUAACCAGAAAAGUUCUUUUGAGUUCCAUACGUUGACUAAAACAUUUCAAUCUGUCAUUGAGUUAGCUAUAUAAUUCCGCGACACCAUUUCUGUACUGUGAUAGUUUCUCAUAUUUUUCUAUUAUACUUGUAUACAUUAUUCCUAUUUGAAGUCAUCAACUGAGAUGUUGUAAACAUUCCUGCCAUGUGCUGCUUCCUUUUUCAUGCUUUGCUACUAUAGAUCAUUUGCUUGAACUGAGAUGAUUGGUGUAUUUGUGCUUAUAAUUAUGCUUCUAUGUGGUUGUUGUAGCAUGACCCAACCAAAUAAACAUUUUGUGCCUUGAUCUAGCUCUAAAAGUGUGGUGUUACCUCUCUUUACAGGAGCUCUGGGCUGAAGAAAUUUGAAGAAGCUUGAAGCCUGACAAAGUAAAGAGUAGCGAGUUAUAAUGUAGUGCUAGUUAUGUUGUACAGUAGCCAGCAUAUCUGGUUGUAUGAACACUAUUGUAAAUACUGUAAUUUCAUAUGUUGUACAGUAGUCAGCAUAUUUGGUGCUAAUAUUGGCUAUCAUUUUAACAGUUUCGUAUGUUCACUUGCCAUUUGAAAUAUUUUUCAUUUGUUUAUUGUGAAAGUGUGAGAAAUAGAAAGAUGACCAGUGCGACAAACGAAAAGGCCAAGGCCCAAAAAGUAGAUGGAAUGUAAAAAGGCCGAGGCCCAAAAUAGAAAUGGACUAUAAAAGGGUAGAGGGUGAAAAAGACUAUAAAAGGCAAUGGCCAAGAAAAAAAACGCUGAAUUGCUGGGCUAGGCCCAUGUGGCUAGCAAAAAAUAACAGGAAAAAAAAUAUAUAUAAAAGGCUGAA
Molecule: non-coding RNA, 2979 nt
Organism: Aegilops tauschii subsp. strangulata
Lineage: Eukaryota; Viridiplantae; Streptophyta; Magnoliopsida; Poales; Poaceae
Source: RefSeq, a predicted model, not a curated record